Molecule: long non-coding RNA, 1067 nt
Filed under: Canis lupus familiaris (dog)
Lineage: Eukaryota; Metazoa; Chordata; Mammalia; Carnivora; Canidae
Description: lncRNA (ENSCAFG00845016765.1)
Source: RNAcentral
UUUUUUUUUUUUUUUUUUUUUUUUUUUUGCACCCGGGGUGGUGGUGGUGGGGUUCAGGCAAUUUCAGGAACGUUAGAAACAGCAUGUUUAUCGUCAAGCACCAACCCCACAUCACAGGAAGGUAAAUACAAAUCUGCGUCUCAUCUUUCAUCUCCCGUGUGCGUUUUAUAACCAGUAGUAGUACUUCCUCGCUUUGCACGUGACAGUAGCACAGGCGGGUAAGGCUCGGGCCGGGCCUCCGGGCCGCCAGGCUGCUCUCUGCCCUCUCGGGGCUGCUCUCGGCCGCCCGCCAGGGAGGACCGCUCCCGGCCCCCCCCGCUGGAUUCUGCAGUCACGGAAGAAAGGCUUGUCUAAGUACAGUAGAAGAGCUGCCACCCGGGGGUGCCGAGGAAAGCCGCGGGCACAGGCCCACGCGGGGACCCGGGGGCAGCCCAGGUCUCCCGGGACAAAUAUUGCCCAUUUGUUUCUGCUGACUGCAGAGACCAGCAAACUGAUGAACUAAUAAUAAUAAUAAUAAUAAUAAUAUUAAUAAUACAUAUACCCAAAGGGGGGGGGGAUCAGAUAUGUGACAUCUGCGCACGUUCUCCAUAGGUUAAAGUCGCCAGCGUUAACUCUUCUCUGGAAGUUAAGAACGGAGGUCUUGAAACUGGAACAGUAAGUGUCAGGUCUGACGCUGAAAACACGUGAGUACAGGGCUGAAGCUAGCGUCUCUCCUGGUCUCGGCUGGCACCACGCUGGAAACCUUCGUCAGCCACAUCCCGCCAUCCCGAGGACCAAACUACAGCUCCACCAGGCAGCGAACACAGAAAAGAAAAAGGUCUAUUUGAGAAAAGAACAUCUUAUCCGUAUUUCCUCUGGCAAUUUACAUGAAAUUCACAUCAUUUUCUUCCAGUUAUUGGCUAUGGGUAUGCAAGGGCGUUAUUUCUUUUCUUCUGUUUCCAGCUCACGGAACAUACGUGACGAUCACAGAUUCGCAAGGACAAGCUCAGACACACCAAUACAGAAGAUAACGUUAAUGCUUAAAUGAAAAGGUCCUCUCCAAAUAAUUCAUUAAAACAUCUGCUUUG